CCUACGGGUGGCAGCAGUGAGGAAUAUUGGUCAAUGGACGCAAGUCUGAACCAGCCAUGCCGCGUGCAGGAUGACGGCUCUAUGAGUUGUAAACUGCUUUUGUACGAGGGUAAUAUCAGAUACGUGUAUCUGCUUGAAAGUAUCGUACGAAUAAGGAUCGGCUAACUCCGUGCCAGCAGCCGCGGUAAUACGGAGGAUCCAAGCGUUAUCCGGAUUUAUUGGGUUUAAAGGGUGCGUAGGCGGUUUUAUAAGUUAGAGGUGAAAAUUCGGGGCUCAACUCCGGACGUGCCUCUAAUACUGUAUGACUAGAGAAUAGAUGCGGUAGGCGGAAUGUAUGGUGUAGCGGUGAAAUGCGUAGAGAUCAUACAGAACACCGAUUGCGAAGGCAGCUUACCAAACUAUAUCUGACGUUGAGGCACGAAAGCGUGGGGAGCAAACAGGAUUAGAUACCCCAGUAGUC
This 460-nucleotide ribosomal RNA is filed under the name uncultured bacterium. RNAcentral describes it as "partial 16S ribosomal RNA". It matches the Rfam family "Bacterial small subunit ribosomal RNA", at positions 338 to 795 of the family's 1533-position model. The record is from RNAcentral.